UACGGAGGGGGCUAGCGUUGUUCGGAAUUACUGGGCGUAAAGCGCGCGUAGGCGGACCUGCAAGUCGGGGGUGAAAGCCCGAGGCUCAACCUCGGAACUGCCUUCGAUACUGCGGGUCUCGAGUCCGGGAGAGGUGAGUGGAAUUCCUAGUGUAGAGGUGAAAUUCGUAGAUAUUAGGAAGAACACCGGUGGCGAAGGCGGGUCUCUGGGCAAUUCCUGACGCUGAGGCGCGAAAGCGUGGGGAGCAAACGGG
This 253-nucleotide ribosomal RNA is filed under the name uncultured bacterium. RNAcentral describes it as "partial 16S ribosomal RNA". It matches the Rfam family "Bacterial small subunit ribosomal RNA", at positions 524 to 776 of the family's 1533-position model. The record is from RNAcentral.